This 495-nucleotide ribosomal RNA is filed under the name uncultured bacterium. RNAcentral's name for it is "partial 16S ribosomal RNA". It matches the Rfam family "Bacterial small subunit ribosomal RNA", at positions 30 to 507 of the family's 1533-position model. The record is from RNAcentral.
UGAACGCUGGCGGCGUGCCUAAUACAUGCAAGUCGAGCGAACAGACGAGGAGCUUGCUCCUCUGACGUUAGCGGCGGACGGGUGAGUAACACGUGGAUAACCUACCUAUAAGACUGGGAUAACUUCGGGAAACCGGAGCUAAUACCGGAUAAUAUAUUGAACCGCAUGGUUCAAUAGUGAAAGACGGUUUUGCUGUCACUUAUAGAUGGAUCCGCGCCGCAUUAGCUAGUUGGUAUGGUAACGGCUUACCAAGGCAACGAUGCGUAGCCGACCUGAGAGGGUGAUCGGCCACACUGGAACUGAGACACGGUCCAGACUCCUACGGGAGGCAGCAGUAGGGAAUCUUCCGCAAUGGGCGAAAGCUUGACGGAGCAACGCCGCGUGAGUGAUGAAGGUCUUCGGAUCGUAAAACUCUGUUAUUAGGGAAGAACAAAUGUGUAAGUAACUAUGCACGUCUUGACGGUACCUAAUCAGAAAGCCACGGCUAACUACGUG